AGCAGUCGCCGCGGGAAUACGAAGGGUGCAAGCGUUAAUCGGAAUUACUGGGCGUAAAGCGUGCGUAGGCGGUUCGUUAAGUCUGUUGUGAAAGCCCCGGGCUCAACCUGGGAAUGGCAGUGGAUACUGGCUCGCUAGAGUGUGUCAGAGGAUGGUGGAAUUCCCGGUGUAGCGGUGAAAUGCGUAGAGAUCGGGAGGAACAUCAGUGGCGAAGGCGGCCAUCUGGGACAACACUGACGCUGAGGCACGAAAGCGUGGGGAGCAAACAGGAUUAGAUACCCCGGUAGUCCCUGUCUCUUAUAC
This 303-nucleotide ribosomal RNA is filed under the name uncultured bacterium. RNAcentral describes it as "partial 16S ribosomal RNA". It matches the Rfam family "Bacterial small subunit ribosomal RNA", at positions 507 to 807 of the family's 1533-position model. The record is from RNAcentral.